AUAUGACUCCGAAUAUGGAAUGAUGUCAAAUUCAAUAUCAUACUCAUAUUUCUCUCAAUCUUAUAUGAUGAUUCAAUUAAUGAAAUACUAAAAACUCUUUCUAAUUUUUAUUCUACUUUUGUUGCUCCUAGAUUGAUUUUGAUGAUUACAAAGCAGAUUGAAGGGAUACAAAUAUUUUUAUUUGAAAAAGUCUUUAUGCUCUUCAGGGGCAAAAUUGUAAUUUUACUAAAAUCUUGAUUUGAUAGUAUCAUUUAGUAGAAUAAGUGAUUUGUAAUCUAUUGGUAAAAAUUUUAUUAUUUUUGGACUUAUAUUUUUGAAGUUAUGAAUGUUUGAAGUGCAUGAGUCGACUCAUGAGUCAACUCAUGGCACAAUGAGCUGCUUGGCACGCUAAAAUUUCCCUUGGCAUGCUGGUUUUUUGGCUUGGCACAACCUGUGAGUCGACUCAUGAGUCGACCCACAAGGCAUGAGUCGACUCAUGAGUCGACUUCUGCUGUUUUGGGCCAAAAUAUCCAGAAACCCAAAUCUCUGGUUUUUGCAACAGAGGUCGACUCAUGAGUCGACCCC
This 564-nucleotide long non-coding RNA is filed under the name Elaeis guineensis (African oil palm). Its description in RNAcentral is "long non-coding RNA (EGUI_LNC065194)". The record is from RNAcentral. Lineage: Eukaryota; Viridiplantae; Streptophyta; Magnoliopsida; Arecales; Arecaceae.